Molecule: ribosomal RNA, 204 nt
Filed under: Paenibacillus polymyxa
Lineage: Bacteria; Bacillati; Bacillota; Bacilli; Caryophanales; Paenibacillaceae
Description: partial 23S ribosomal RNA
Rfam family: Bacterial large subunit ribosomal RNA
Source: RNAcentral
ACGGGUCUUGAUAUUGAAUUUGGGUACGAUCUGUACAGGAUAGGUGGGAGCCGUUGAGCCUUGAGCGCCAGCUUGAGGGGAGGCAUCCUUGGGAUACCACCCUGAUCGUAUCUAGGUUCUAACUUGGUACCGUGAACCGGUGCGAGGACAGUGUCAGGUGGGCAGUUUGACUGGGGCGGUCGCCUCCUAAAGAGUAACGGAGGC